ACUCCUACGGGAGGCAGCAGUGGGGAAUAUUGGACAAUGGGCGCAAGCCUGAUCCAGCCAUGCCGCGUGAGUGAUGAAGGCCCUAGGGUUGUAAAGCUCUUUCACCGGUGAAGAUAAUGACGGUAACCGGAGAAGAAGCCCGGGCUAACUUCGUGCCAGCAGCCGCGGUAAUACGAAGGGGGCUAGCGUUGUUCGGAUUUACUGGGCGUAAAGCGCACGUAGGCGGACUAUUAAGUCAGGGGUGAAAUCCCGGGGCUCAACCCCGGAACUGCCUUUGAUACUGGUAGUCUUGAGUUCGAGAGAGGUUAGUGGAAUUCCGAGUGUAGAGGUGAAAUUCGUAGAUAUUCGGAGGAACACCAGUGGCGAAGGCGGCUCACUGGCUCGAUACUGACGCUGAGGUGCGAAAGCGUGGGGAGCAAACAGGAUUAGAUACCCCGGUAGUCCC
RNAcentral lists this ribosomal RNA (445 nucleotides) under uncultured organism. RNAcentral describes it as "partial 16S ribosomal RNA". It matches the Rfam family "Bacterial small subunit ribosomal RNA", at positions 335 to 797 of the family's 1533-position model. The record is from RNAcentral.